CAGCCAGCUUUGGUUGCAUGUUGUCCGGUCUAUGACCAGCAGUCAUUUGGUUAGACACCGUUUGACUAUUUUGACCACCAGUAUCCUGCCUUUGCUUCUGCUGCUGAGACUGAGGUACCACCGUGGGCUCAGCAGAAAAUCCACCACUGUUGUUAUUAGUACCACUAUUAACGAAACCAGGUGUAGGAAUCAUCUGGGGAGCACUUCUUUGAGAACCCAUGUUCCCUCUUGAACCAAGAGAAAAGUUUCUCGGUGAAUUCUGGUAACCAUUAGACAUAUUACCUGAAAUGAAAUUGCUAAGGUGUCAGAGACUCGGCGUGAGAUUAAAAUUUCCAGGAAAAGUAUCUAUGAUCAAACCUCCAUGGAUGCCACCAGAAGCUAGAAGGUUUCCAGUGUUGACAGCUUUGCUUGUACUGCUGUUGUUUCCAGCUAUAGUAGUAUCAGCAGAGGGUGUAACCAUCGAAGUAGAAUUAUCCCCAGUAUGUGGUAAUCUUGGAGUAGGUAUCAUCGUAGUACCCCCACCAGCAUGUGAUAAUCCUGGAGUAGGUAUCAUCAUUCCAACAGAAGGAGAAUUAGAAUGUCGCUGAUUGUAGUUAUUCAAAUGUCUGCCUUUUAUUAGGCUCGUAAUCCUAGACUCAAGGGUUGACCGGUUCACGUAAUCCUCCUGUUAGUAUAAGUCGAAAAGAAAAAUCUUAAGGAAUGACAUGAGUCAACAAGCUGGAUGUAGAGGCAGAAAUAUUUUGAGAUACCUUUGAGACGGCCAUCUUAAACAGCCCCUCCUCUAAGCGUCUAGCAACAUCCAUAUACUUUGCCUUUGAUGCAGCAUCGGCCUGUGAUGGUUGCCGCUGCUGUAACAUGUUAAACCUGUACAAAUCAAUAGAAAAGUUAUUAUUCAUCAGCGAGCACAUACUUGUGGAGAGAAAAUAAAAGGAUAAAUCUAUGAAUAAAAAUUGCUUUUCUGUAAAUUUUUGAAGUCAAUAAAAUCGCACACCUGGCCAACCCACUGACGAAGACUAAGAAUAUGUUCUCUCACUUGGUCGGGAGUGAACAUUUCAGUUAAAGAAACACCCUUUAUCUUUGGUUUUCCAGGUUUUGAUGCAACAACGUCAGCAGACUCCACCACAACUUCUUCCUUCGGCUCUUUCUCCAUUUUAACGUUUUCUUGCUUUAGCGAGGCACCAGAUAAAUCAUGUUGACCUGGUUCACUGACAGGCCUAGGUUUGGGAACAUUUUCAACAGCUUCAUGUUUUAUCUCCUUGAUGCUGAAUCCUGCUUGAACAGAAACAUCAGGAAUCUCUUCUUUCACUUCCAACUUCUCUGACUUCAAUGCCGCAUGUGCGUCGCUCUGCAUAUGAUCCUUUCUUUCAGCAUUCUGAGAUGGUUCUGUCUCUGCUUUGGGAACAAUGGAGCUUUUACAAACUUCACUCUCACGGACCACUGGUUCAAAAGAAGGCUCCACCUUCAACCGUUUUGAUGAAGGUUCCAAAUUAUCUACAGUAUCAGUACAUCCAGGGGCACCAGAAACGGCUCCAUCAGUAGCGCAUGGUGAAUCAUUUGAUACUACAGCUCCGUUCACUACACUGCUUUCGCUUUUUAAACGGGCCUGGACACGCGCAUUAGCUUGCUGCUGAUGGUAGGUCUUAACUGGUACACAGACGGGGCACCGAGGAUCCUUGCAGUUUUUAUAGUGGCCAAUCAACGACUUCGUGGGGCGACAACGAGGAUACAAACACUGAGGCUCUACACAGCUGUUCAUGUGACUCAGUAGCUUCUGAACAGUAACGCAGUUUCGUCCCGGGCACUUCACUCCUGGCCGUUUGCAGGUCCGUGCAUGAAGCAGAAACAAGAGCCAUCUCUGUUGAUUUUGGAACUUGACAUCGCGAUUUCCAUAUCUACAUGCCGUUCCAGUUGCAUUUUGCAGACUGUGGGAUUCGGAUGCGGUGGAAGUAUGAAUUUGACCAAUAACAGACCCUUCCAUCAAAUUAUUAGGUUGAGCUUCAUCCGUACCGGUAACUCUUUCACGAAAAUCCUCCUGAACGUUCUGUUCACUCGACAUACCAUUAGACAUUUGAGUGUUUCCCUGAGACUGGGAAGGCCACUGAUCCUGUGGAUUGGAUUCUAAUUUUACUCCAACAGCAAGGUUGCUAAAACUGUGGACUGUAUCAGAGCCCGGGUGCAUCAUUUGCUGAACCUGUUGGCUAUUUUGAGGAAGGAGCGUGCAUAUAUCACUCUGACUUGUAACUGCUACAUGUUGAGCGUUUGCAGAGCGGUCUGCUCCUGGGUUCUGAUAUUGAUUCUGGAACUGAGAAAGCUGGAGUCGUUCAGAUGCUUGGGAGUGCAAAGGUUCACUAUGGCUCUGCACUCCAGGUUCAUGUUGAACAUUCGUAACAACGUCAGAAGCCACCUGAGGUUUCCCGGAACCAUCUUUGCUUAUUAACUUAUGUUGCUGCAGGGCCUGCUGCUUCAAUGUUUUUUGCUGGAUAAAUUUCUGCUGCUGCUGCUGCUGUUGUUGAAUCUGAUUAGGCUGUUGCGGAAAUUGUUGUUGUUGAUGUGAAUGCAGAGAAGAGUUAGCUCUGGACACAGACUGGAAACUUGCUGCAUUGAUAUUCUGAGCACUUGGCAUCUUCCCUACCGAUGUUACAGCUCCAUGCAAAUUUUUAGAUCCAAGGUUGUUGUCAGGAUUUGUUGUUCUAUAACCUUCCCCUGAAAUAUGAAGAAACAUACUUUAAAAUAUUCUGAUAGGUUAGUACUAGUGCCAAAGCACAAGAAAGGACCAUACAUAUAAAAUGAGAUGAUUAGGACAGACGAAAAAGCGAGAGCCUGAAGAGUUUACCUGCGUCUACACUUUUUUUGCUCACACCAACACCACCAUUUACAGAGUUACUAGCCACACCAGCCAGCUUUGGUUGCAUGUUGUCCGGUCUAUGACCAGCAGUCAUUUGGUUAGACACCGUUUGACUAUUUUGACCACCAGUAUCCUGCCUUUGCUUCUGCUGCUGAGACUGAGGUACCACCGUGGGCUCAGCAGAAAAUCCACCACUGUUGUUAUUAGUACCACUAUUAACGAAACCAGGUGUAGGAAUCAUCUGGGGAGCACUUCUUUGAGAACCCAUGUUCCCUCUUGAACCAAGAGAAAAGUUUCUCGGUGAAUUCUGGUAACCAUUAGACAUAUUACC
RNAcentral lists this long non-coding RNA (3176 nucleotides) under Brassica napus (rape). Its description in RNAcentral is "long non-coding RNA (BNAP_LNC022218)". Lineage: Eukaryota; Viridiplantae; Streptophyta; Magnoliopsida; Brassicales; Brassicaceae. The record is from RNAcentral.